AGAAUCAACGCUGGCGGCGUGCCUAACACAUGCAAGUCGAACGAGAAAGUGGAGCAAUCCAUGAGUAAAGUGGCGACCGGGUGAGUAACACGUGACUAACCUACCUUUGAGUGGGGGAUAACAUCGGGAAACCGAUGCUAAUACCGCAUAACAUCGCAAGAUCAAAGCAGCAAUGCGCUUAAAGAGGGGGUCGCGGCUGAUUAGCUAGUUGGCGGGGUAACGCCCACCAAGGCGAAGAUCGGUA
Molecule: ribosomal RNA, 244 nt
Filed under: uncultured bacterium
Lineage: Bacteria
Description: partial small subunit ribosomal RNA
Rfam family: Bacterial small subunit ribosomal RNA
Source: RNAcentral